AACAAACCAAGUAUAUUCAAAUCUCAAACAGCUGUCUUUCAUCUUAUGUAUACAUUUUAUUAUUUCUCCACAAGAUCGUGAUGAUGCUGUCAAGACGUGUUUCUGCUGCGAUGGAGGCCUGCGAUGCUGGAAGGCUGAAGAUUAUCCCUGAGUGGAGCAUGCUAAAUGGUUUCCUCAGUGUGAAUAUGGGCUCCAGGAGAAGGGACAAGAAUUUUUGUUCACCCAAUUCAGGCUCGUUUUCCUUGGCUGUCUGAGCAGAGUGCAGUCUAGUAAAGCACACCGUCCAGAGAAACAUCCAGACCAGUGGAGAGAACUGCUGAACAGUCCAGACCAGGAGCUGAGCUGCUGAGUGUUGAAUACCAGAAAAUGGAAGAGAGGUGAUGGUUGUCCAUGAAAAUAAACAUCUUUCUCACUACAGCACA
Molecule: long non-coding RNA, 422 nt
Organism: Limanda limanda (common dab)
Lineage: Eukaryota; Metazoa; Chordata; Actinopteri; Pleuronectiformes; Pleuronectidae
Exons: 3
Source: RefSeq, a predicted model, not a curated record